AUUGAACGCUGGCGGCAGGCCUAACACAUGCAAGUCGAGCGGAUGAAGGGAGCUUGCUCCUGGAUUCAGCGGCGGACGGGUGAGUAAUGCCUAGGAAUCUGCCUGGUAGUGGGGGAUAACGUCCGGAAACGGGCGCUAAUACCGCAUACGCCCUGAGGGAGAAAGUGGGGGAUCUUCGGACCUCACGCUAUCAGAUGAGCCUAGGUCGGAUUAGCUAGUUGGUGGGGUAAAGGCCUACCAAGGCGACGAUCCGUAACUGGUCUGAGAGGAUGAUCAGUCACACUGGAACUGAGACACGGUCCAGACUCCUACGGGAGGCAGCAGUGGGGAAUAUAGGACAAUGGGCGAAAGCCUGAUCCAGCCAUGCCGCGUGUGUGAAGAAGGUCUUCGGAUUGUAAAGCACUUUAAGUUGGGAGGAAGGGCAGUAAGUUAAUACCUUGCUGUUUUGACGUUACCAACAGAAUAAGCACCGGCUAACUUCGUG
Molecule: ribosomal RNA, 484 nt
Filed under: uncultured bacterium
Lineage: Bacteria
Description: partial 16S ribosomal RNA
Rfam family: Bacterial small subunit ribosomal RNA
Source: RNAcentral